UUAAGAGAAUAAGGGUGUACGGAGGAUGCCUAGGUAGCAAGAGCCGAAGAAGGACGUGGUAAGCUGCGAUAAGCUAAGACAAGUUGCAAACGAACGUUAUAGUCUUAGAUUUCCGAAUGGGAAAACCUACUUGCUUGAAGAGCAAGUGCUGAGGCGGGAACCGGAUGAACUGAAACAUCUAAGUAAUCCGAGGAAGAGAAAGUAAAAACGAUUCCCUAAGUAGCGGCGAGCGAACGGGGAAGAGCCCAAACCAUUGCAGUGUCAAGGAUGUAGCCGUUGCUGUAAUGGGGUAGAGGGAUAACAGUCAGGAGAACUACAAGGUAUCCGACGUUAGUCAUGUAAGGUAGCAGAAUGGCAUGGGAAGGCCAAUCGUAGAAGGUGAGAAUCCUGUAUGCGGUGCUUCAUGACGCGUUAUUGUUAAUCCCAAGUAGCACCGAACACGAGGAAUUUGGUGUGAAUCAGCGUGGACCAUAUCACGUAAGGCUAAAUACUCUUGCUGACCGAUAGCGCAUAGUACCGUGAGGGAAAGGUGAAAAGAACCCCGGGAGGGGAGUGAAAUAGAAUCUGAAACCGUACACUUACAAGCGGUCAGAGCCCUUUAUAUGGGUGAUGGCGUGCCUUUUGGAGAAUGAUCCUGCGAGUUACGAUCAAUGGCAAGGUUAAGUAAACCGGAGCCGUAGGGAAACCGAGUCUGAAUAGGGCGUUAAGUCGUUGGUCGUAGACGCGAAACCGGGUGAUCUAUACCUGUCCAGGCUGAAGCUGGGGUAAGACCUAGUGGAGGGCCGAACUCACCGCCGUUGAAAAGUUGGGAGAUGAGGUAGGUAUAGGGGUGAAACGCCAAUCGAACCCGGAGAUAGCUCGUUCUCUCCGAAAUGCAUUUAGGUGCAGCCUUGUUUGUUUAUCUGCGGGGGUAGAGCACUGAAUAGUCUAGGGGGCGUACCGCUUACCAAAACUAAUCAACCUCCGAAUACCGUAGAUCCAGAAAACAGGAGUGAGACCAUGGGUAAUAAGAUCCUUGGUCGAGAGGGAAACAGCCCAGACCACCAGCUAAGGUCCCAAAUUAUAUCUAAGUGGGAAAGGAGGUGGAGAUUCACAGACAACCAGGAUGUUGGCUUAGAAGCAGCCAUACAUUUAAAGAGUGCGUAAUAGCUCACUGGUCGAGAGUCUCUGCGCCGACAAUGUAACGGGGCUAAGAUAUAAACCGAAGCUGUGGAAUGUACCGUAUGGUAUAUUGGUAGGAGAGCGUUGUGUAGGCCGGUGAAGGUGUACCGAAAGGAGCACUGGAGGUAUCACAAGUGAGAAUGCAGGAAUGAGUAGCGAAAAAGAGGGUGAGAAUCCCUCUCGCCGGAAGUCCAAGGUUUCCAGGGCAAUGCUUGUCAUCCCUGGGGAAGUCGGGACCUAAGUUGAGGCUUAUAAGCGUAGGCGAAUGGAAAGUAGGUUAAUAUUCCUACACCAGUUAUGUAUUGUGAUGGAGGGACGCAGAAGGGUAGAUACGCUGGGCGACGGUUGUCCCAGUGCAAGCAUGUAGGGUGGCCAGAUAGGAAAAUCCGUUUGGCUAUAUCUGAGGUGUGAUGCGGAGCACGUAAGUGCAGAAGGUAUUGAUCCCACGCUGCCAAGAAAAGCUUCUAACGUUAAGACAUAACUGCCCGUACUGUAAACCGACACAGGUGGACAGCGUGAGAAACGUAAGGCGGACAGGCUAACUCUCGCUAAGGAACUCUGCAAAAUGGCCCCGUAACUUCGGGAGAAGGGGUGCCUUUGAUGGUGAUGGUUCACGCAACCUGAGCUGUCGGAGGCCGCAGUGAAAAGACUCAAGCGACUGUUUAACAAAAACACAGGUCUAUGCUAAGCUGAAAGGCGAUGUAUAUGGGCUGACACCUGCCCAGUGCCGGAAGGUUAAGAGGAGGAGUGAGAGCUCCGAAUUGAAGCCCCGGUGAACGGCGGCCGUAACUAUAACGGUCCUAAGGUAGCGAAAUUCCUUGUCGGGUAAGUUCCGACCUGCACGAAUGGUGUAACGAUUUGAGUGCUGUCUUGGCGGGAGGCCUGGUGAAGUUGUAUUAUGGGUGAAGAUACCCAUUACCUGCAGCAGGACGGAAAGACCCCAUGGAGCUUUACUGUAGCUUGGUAUUGGGUCUUGAUGCUGUGUGUAUAGGAUAGUUGGGAGACUUUGAUUGUAGGCCGCUAGGUUUACAUGAGUCGUUGGUGGAAUACCAACCACGCAGUAUUGGGAUUCUAAUCUGGUGUGUGUAACACCGGAGACAGUGCUAGGUGGGCAGUUUGACUGGGGCGGUCGCCUCCGAAAGAGUAACGGAGGCGCUCAAAGGUUCCCUCAGGUUGGAUGGAAAUCAACCGCAGAGUGCAAAGGCAUAAGGGAGCUUGACUGCGAGACUGACAGGUCGAGCAGGUGCGAAAGCAGGACUUAGUGAUCCGGCGAUUCCGAAUGGAAGGGUCGUCGCUCAACGGAUAAAAGCUACCCUGGGGAUAACAGGCUGAUCCUACCCGAGAGUCCAUAUCGACGGUAGGGUUUGGCACCUCGAUGUCGGCUCAUCUUAUCCUGGGGCUGGAGAAGGUCCCAAGGGUUGGGCUGUUCGCCCAUUAAAAAGGUACGUGAGCUGGGUUCAGAACGUCGUGAGACAGUUCGGUCCCUAUCCGCUGCAGGCGCUAGAGUAUUGCGGAGAUCUGCCCUUAGUACGAGAGGACCGGGGUGGACAAACCUCUGAUGUAUCAGUUGUCACGCCAGUGGCAUAGCUGGGUAGUCACGUUUGGAAUGGAUAACCGCUGAAAGCAUCUAAGUGGGAAACCAACUUCAAGAUAAAUACUCUGUAACUUUAAGUUAAUAAGUCACCUUCGAGACUAGGAGGUUGAUAGGCUGGGGGUGUAAGGGACGUAAGUUCUUUAGCUGACCAGUACUAAUUAGACGAAUGCUUAUCCUA
This 2933-nucleotide ribosomal RNA is filed under the name metagenome. RNAcentral describes it as "bacterial LSU rRNA". It matches the Rfam family "Bacterial large subunit ribosomal RNA". The record is from RNAcentral.